This 1371-nucleotide ribosomal RNA is filed under the name uncultured bacterium. RNAcentral describes it as "bacterial SSU rRNA". It matches the Rfam family "Bacterial small subunit ribosomal RNA", at positions 28 to 1381 of the family's 1533-position model. The record is from RNAcentral.
GAUGAACGCUGGCGGCGUGCCUAAUACAUGCAAGUCGAGCGAACGGACGAGAAGCUUGCUUCUCUGAUGUUAGCGGCGGACGGGUGAGUAACACGUGGAUAACCUACCUAUAAGACUGGGAUAACUUCGGGAAACCGGAGCUAAUACCGGAUAAUAUUUUGAACCGCAUGGUUCAAAAGUGAAAGACGGUCUUGCUGUCACUUAUAGAUGGAUCCGCGCUGCAUUAGCUAGUUGGUAAGGUAACGGCUUACCAAGGCAACGAUGCAUAGCCGACCUGAGAGGGUGAUCGGCCACACUGGAACUGAGACACGGUCCAGACUCCUACGGGAGGCAGCAGUAGGGAAUCUUCCGCAAUGGGCGAAAGCCUGACGGAGCAACGCCGCGUGAGUGAUGAAGGUCUUCGGAUCGUAAAACUCUGUUAUUAGGGAAGAACAUAUGUGUAAGUAACUGUGCACAUCUUGACGGUACCUAAUCAGAAAGCCACGGCUAACUACGUGCCAGCAGCCGCGGUAAUACGUAGGUGGCAAGCGUUAUCCGGAAAUAUUGGGCGUAAAGCGCGCGUAGGCGGUUUUUUAGUCUGAUGUGAAAGCCCACGGCUCAACCGUGGAGGGUCAUUGGAAACUGGAAAACUUGAGUGCAGAAGAGGAAAGUGGAAUUCCAUGUGUAGCGGUGAAAUGCGCAGAGAUAUGGAGGAACACCAGUGGCGAAGGCGACUUUCUGGUCUGUAACUGACGCUGAUGUGCGAAAGCGUGGGGAUCAAACAGGAUUAGAUACCCUGGUAGUCCACGCCGUAAACGAUGAGUGCUAAGUGUUAGGGGGUUUCCGCCCCUUAGUGCUGCAGCUAACGCAUUAAGCACUCCGCCUGGGGAGUACGACCGCAAGGUUGAAACUCAAAGGAAUUGACGGGGACCCGCACAAGCGGUGGAGCAUGUGGUUUAAUUCGAAGCAACGCGAAGAACCUUACCAAAUCUUGACAUCCUUUGACAACUCUAGAGAUAGAGCCUUCCUCUUCGGGGGACAAAGUGACAGGUGGUGCAUGGUUGUCGUCAGCUCGUGUCGUGAGAUGUUGGGUUAAGUCCCGCAACGAGCGCAACCCUUAAGCUUAGUUGCCAUCAUUAAGUUGGGCACUCUAAGUUGACUGCCGGUGACAAACCGGAGGAAGGUGGGGAUGACGUCAAAUCAUCAUGCCCCUUAUGAUUUGGGCUACACACGUGCUACAAUGGACAAUACAAAGGGCAGCGAAACCGCGAGGUCAAGCAAAUCCCAUAAAGUUGUUCUCAGUUCGGAUUGUAGUCUGCAACUCGACUACAUGAAGCUGGAAUCGCUAGUAAUCGUAGAUCAGCAUGCUACGGUGAACACGUUCCCGGGUCU